GUUAAUUAAGGAUUUCUUAGUAAUUUUUAACAAUUUAAUUCAUUUCGAUUUUGAUUUAAGACGAAGUAAACACAUUAAUGGGUCAUUUUGUAUAGAACCCAUAAUUUUAAUACUCACUUCACAACCUUACAAAAAAUCAGAUAACCUAGCUUGAGAUUAAACAAAAAUUAUGCAAUCCGAAGAGUUAUCCUAAAUACCAAAUAAGACAUAAUGCUGCUAAAUUUAGGGUGUGUUUACUUGUAGGAUCAGGGAAUUAAAAUCUAUAAUGGAAAUGAUUGAUGAUGUUUACUUAUUAAUGUAAGAGGGAGACUGAAAAUGAAAAAUGAGGGGCCCAUAUGUUUUUGGGAUUAAGGAAUGAGAGUUUUAUUCCCAUAAGAGAGUUGGAAAUCAAGUUCUCAUUUCUUGAACUUUCCAUUUUACCCCCACUAAAUUUUCAUAGUUUUCAAAUUGCUCAGAAUUAAGUUUCAUCACUUUUUCAUUUUAGACCUUACAAAAUUUUGUAAUAUUACAAAUAGGUCCUUUAUAAUAAUAAUAAUAAUGACAUCAAUAAAUAACAACAACAAUGAUGAUGAUUAUUGUUGUUGUU
RNAcentral lists this long non-coding RNA (586 nucleotides) under Citrus x clementina. Its description in RNAcentral is "Citrus clementina (C. clementina) long non-coding RNA (CCLE_LNC003064)". The record is from RNAcentral. Lineage: Eukaryota; Viridiplantae; Streptophyta; Magnoliopsida; Sapindales; Rutaceae.